CCUACGGGGGGCUGCAGUGAGGAAUAUUGGUCAAUGGUCGGGAGACUGAACCAGCCAAGCCGCGUGAGGGAUGAAGGUACAGAGUAUCGUAAACCUCUUUUGUCAGGGAACAAAGGCGGGGACGUGUCCCCGGAUGAGUGUACCUGAAGAAAAAGCAUCGGCUAACUCCGUGCCAGCAGCCGCGGUAAUACGGAGGAUGCGAGCGUUAUCCGGAUUUAUUGGGUUUAAAGGGUGCGCAGGCGGUCUGUUAAGUCAGCGGUCAAAGCCCGGGGCUCAACCCCGGCCCGCCGUUGAAACUGGCAGUCUCGAGUUGGAGAGAAGUAUGCGGAAUGCGCGGUGUAGCGGUGAAAUGCAUAGAUAUCGCGAAGAACUCCGAUUGCGAAGGCAGCAUGCCGGCUCCACACUGACGCUGAGGCACGAAAGCGUGGGUAGCGAACAGGAUUAGAUACCCUGGUAGUC
This 459-nucleotide ribosomal RNA is filed under the name uncultured bacterium. RNAcentral describes it as "partial 16S ribosomal RNA". It matches the Rfam family "Bacterial small subunit ribosomal RNA", at positions 338 to 795 of the family's 1533-position model. The record is from RNAcentral.